This 500-nucleotide ribosomal RNA is filed under the name uncultured bacterium. Its description in RNAcentral is "bacterial SSU rRNA". It matches the Rfam family "Bacterial small subunit ribosomal RNA", at positions 9 to 526 of the family's 1533-position model. The record is from RNAcentral.
GAGUUUGAUCAUGGCUCAGGACGAACGCUGGCGGCGUGCCUAACACAUGCAAGUCGAGCGAGGAAGCCCCUUCGGGGGUGGAAUAGCGGCGGACGGGUGAGUAACACGUGGGUAACCUGCCUCAAAGAGGGGGAUAGCCUCCCGAAAGGGAGAUUAAUACCGCAUAGAAGGUAAAAAUCGCAUGAUAAAUGCCUUAAAGGAGCAAUCCGCUUUGAGAUGGGCCCGCGUCGCAUUAGCUAGUUGGAGGGAUAAAAGCCCCCCAAGGCGACGAUGCGUAGCCGACCUGAGAGGGUGAACGGCCACAUUGGAACUGAGAUACGGUCCAGACUCCUACGGGAGGCAGCAGUGGGGAAUAUUGCACAAUGGGGGAAACCCUGAUGCAGGAACGCCGCGUGAGUGAAGAAGGUUUUCGGAUCGUAAAGCUCUGUCAUCCGGGACGAUAAUGACGGUACCGGAAGAGGAAGCCACGGCUAACUACGUGCCAGCAGCCGCGGUAAUAC